RNAcentral lists this ribosomal RNA (460 nucleotides) under uncultured bacterium. RNAcentral describes it as "partial 16S ribosomal RNA". It matches the Rfam family "Bacterial small subunit ribosomal RNA", at positions 338 to 795 of the family's 1533-position model. The record is from RNAcentral.
CCUACGGGAGGCAGCAGUGAGGAAUAUUGGUCAAUGGUCGGGAGACUGAACCAGCCAAGCCGCGUGAGGGAGGAAGGCUCUGAGUAUCGUAAACUUCUUUUGUAUGGGAGUAAAGUCUUCCACGUGUUGACGUUUGUGUGUACCAUAAGAAUAAGCAUCGGCUAACUCCGUGCCAGCAGCCGCGGUAAUACUGAGGAUCCGAGCGUUAUCCGGAUUUCUUGGGUUUAAAGGGAGCGCAGGUGGGUGGGUAAGUCAGGUGUGAAAGGCGGGGGAUCAACCCGAAGAUGGCAGUUGAAACUGGCAGGCUGGAGUACAGGAGAGGUGUGCGGAAUGCGUGGUGUAGCGGUGAAAUGCGUAGAUAUCACGAAGAACUCCGAUGGCGAAGGCAGCUUACUGGACUGUAACUGACGCUGAGGCUCGAAAGCGUGGGUAUCAAACAGGAUUAGAUACCCUAGUAGUC